RNAcentral lists this ribosomal RNA (496 nucleotides) under uncultured bacterium. Its description in RNAcentral is "partial 16S ribosomal RNA". It matches the Rfam family "Bacterial small subunit ribosomal RNA", at positions 28 to 506 of the family's 1533-position model. The record is from RNAcentral.
GAUGAACGCUGGCGGCGUGCCUAAUACAUGCAAGUCGAGCGAACAGACGAGGAGCUUGCUCCUCUGAUGUUAGCGGCGGACGGGUGAGUAACACGUGGAUAACCUACCUAUAAGACUGGGAUAACUUCGGGAAACCGGAGCUAAUACCGGAUAACAUGUUGAACCGCAUGGUUCAACAGUGAAAGACGGUCUUGCUGUCACUUAUAGAUGGAUCCGCGCCGCAUUAGCUAGUUGGUAAGGUAACGGCUUACCAAGGCAACGAUGCGUAGCCGACCUGAGAGGGUGAUCGGCCACACUGGAACUGAGACACGGUCCAGACUCCUACGGGAGGCAGCAGUAGGGAAUCUGCCGCAAUGGGCGAAAGCCUGACGGAGCAACGCCGCGUGAGUGAAGAAGGUCUUCGGAUCGUAAAACUCUGUUAUUAGGGAAGAACAAAUGUGUAAGUAACUAUGCACGUCUUGACGGUACCUAAUCAGAAAGCCACGGCUAACUACGU